Molecule: ribosomal RNA, 425 nt
Filed under: uncultured bacterium
Lineage: Bacteria
Description: partial 16S ribosomal RNA
Rfam family: Bacterial small subunit ribosomal RNA
Source: RNAcentral
GUGGGGAAUCUUGCGCAAUGGGCGAAAGCCUGACGCAGCCAUGCCGCGUGAAUGAUGAAGGUCUUAGGAUUGUAAAAUUCUUUCACCGGGGACGAUAAUGACGGUACCCGGAGAAGAAGCUCCGGCUAACUUCGUGCCAGCAGCCGCGGUAAUACGAAGGGGGCUAGCGUUGCUCGGAAUUACUGGGCGUAAAGGGCGCGUAGGCGGACAGCUUAGUCAGAGGUGAAAGCCCAGGGGUCAACCUUGGAAUUGCCUUUGAUACUUGCUGUGUUGAGUUUGGGAGAGGUGAGUGGAACUCCGAGUGUAGAGGUGAAAUUCGUAGAUAUUCGGAAGAACACCAGUGGCGAAGGCGACUCACUGGCCCAAUACUGACGCUGAGGCGCGAAAGCGUGGGGAGCAAACAGGAUUAGAAACCCCGGUAGUCC